AUAAAUUAAUCUAAGGGCAGAUGGUGGAUGCCUAGACCAGAAGAGGCGAUGAAGGACGUACUAGGCUGCGAUAAGCCAGGGGGAGCUGCCAAGAAGCUUUGAUCCCUGGAUUUCCGAAUGGGGCAACCCGGCAUGUUGCGAAGCAUGUCACCUUUCGAGGAGCGAACGUGGGGAAGUGAAACAUCUCAGUACCCACAGGAAAAGAAAUCAACCGAGAUUCCCUUAGUAGCGGCGAGCGAAAAGGGAUUAGCCCUAAAGAGUUUAAGGUGUUAGUAGAAUAAGCUGGAAUGCUUGACCGUAGAGGGUGAAAGUCCCGUAUACGAAAACUAAUUAGACUUUAUUCGAGUAGGUCGGGACACGUGAAACCCUGACUGAAUAUGGGAGGACCACCUUCCAAGGCUAAAUACUACUUCAGGAUCGAUAGUGAACCAGUACCGUGAGGGAAAGGUGAAAAGAACCGCAGUGAGCGGAGUGAAAUAGAACCUGAAACCAUCUGCCUACAAUCAUUCAGAGCCCNNGGGUGAUGGACUGCCUUUUGCAUAAUGAGCCUGCGAGUUAUGGUGACUAGCAAGGUUAAACACACGUGAAGCCGUAGCGAAAGCGAGUCUUAAUAGGGCGUUAGUUAGUUGCUGUAGACCCGAAACUAAGUGAUCUAUCCAUGGGCAGGUUGAAGCUGGUGUAAGAGCUAGUGGAGGACCGAACGGGUGGAGGUUUAAAACUCCUCCGAUGACCUGUGGAUAGGGGUGAAAGGCCAAUCAAACUUAGUGAUAGCUGGUUCUCUCCGAAAUAUAUUUAGGUAUAGCGUCAUGUUCGAAGCUAUGGGGGGUAGAGCACUGAUUGGGCUAGGGCCUACACCAAGGUACCAAACCCAGUCAAACUCCGAAUACCCAUAGUGAAUUCAUGGCAGUCAGGUGGUGGGUGAUAAAAUCCAUCAUCGAGAGGGAAACAGCCCAGACUACCAGCUAAGGUCCCAAAGUUCUAUUUAAGUGGAAAAGGAUGUGGAGUUGCUUAGACAACCAGGAGGUUGGCUUAGAAGCAGCCAUCCUUUAAAGAAAGCGUAACAGCUCACUGGUCUAGCGAUUCUGCGCCGAAAAUAUAACGGGGCUAAAAUAGACACCGAAGCUGUAGAUUUAGUAUUUAUACUAAGUGGUAGGAGAGCGUUCUAGUCAGCAUUGAAGCCAUACCGGUAAGGAGUGGUGGAGCGGCUAGAAGUGAGCAUGCAGGCAUGAGUAGCGAUAAAACAGGUGAGAAUCCUGUUCGCCGUAAACCCAAGGGUUCCUACACUAUGCUCGUCAUUGUAGGGUUAGUCGGGUCCUAAGCUGAGUCCGAAAGGGGUAAGCGAUGGCAAAUUGGUUAAUAUUCCAAUACCAACUAAUAGUUUAGUACGAAGGGGGGACGCAUAGGGUUAAACGAGGUCACUGAUGGAAUAGUGGCUCGAAGGGUGUAGAUAAGCUGGAUAGGAAAAUCCGCCGGCUGUUUUCGAGACCUGACAGGCUGAUGACGCGCUUCGGCGUAGAUUCAGAAUCGUUGAUACCGUCGUGCCAAGAAAAGCCUCUAAGUGUAUUAUUAGUUGCCCGUACCGUAAACCGACACAGGUGGGUGAGAUGAGUAUUCUAAGGCGCGUGGAAGAACCCUGGUUAAGGAACUCUGCAAACUAGCACCGUAACUUCGGAAUAAGGUGUGCCUCCUCUUGUAUAGGACUUCGCGUCCAAAAGCGAGAGAGGUUGCAACAAAGAGUCCCUCCCGACUGUUUAUCAAAAACACAGCACUUUGCUAACUCGUAAGAGGAUGUAUAAGGUGUGACGCCUGCCCGGUGCUUGAAGGUUAAUUGAUGGGGUUAGCAUUCGUGCGAAGCUCUUGAUCGAAGCCCCGGUAAACGGCGGCCGUAACUAUAACGGUCCUAAGGUAGCGAAAUUCCUUGUCGGGUAAAUACCGACCUGCAUGAAUGGCGUAACGAGAUGGGAGCUGUCUCAACCAGGGAUCCAGUGAAAUUGUAGUGGAGGUGAAAAUUCCUCCUACCCGCGGCAAGACGGAAAGACCCCGUGCACCUUUACUAUAGCUUGACACUGCAAUUGGGAUAUAUUUGUGCAGGAUAGGUGGGAGGCUUUGAUNNNNNNNNNNNNNNNNNNNNNNNNNNNNNNNNNCGGAGGACAAUGUCUGGUGGGUAGUUUGACUGGGGCGGUCGCCUCCUAAAAAGUAACGGAGGCUUACAAAGGUUGGCUCAGAUGGGUUGGAAAUCCAUCGCAGAGUGUAAUGGCAUAAGCCCGCCUGACUGCGAGACGGACAGGUCGAGCAGAGACGAAAGUCGGUCAUAGUGAUCCGGUGGUCCCGCGUGGAAGGGCCAUCGCUCAA
RNAcentral lists this ribosomal RNA (2352 nucleotides) under Gammaproteobacteria bacterium. Its description in RNAcentral is "partial 23S ribosomal RNA". It matches the Rfam family "Bacterial large subunit ribosomal RNA", at positions 1 to 2452 of the family's 2925-position model. Lineage: Bacteria; Pseudomonadati; Pseudomonadota; Gammaproteobacteria. The record is from RNAcentral.